This 221-nucleotide ribosomal RNA is filed under the name uncultured bacterium. RNAcentral describes it as "partial 16S ribosomal RNA". It matches the Rfam family "Bacterial small subunit ribosomal RNA", at positions 113 to 334 of the family's 1533-position model. The record is from RNAcentral.
CGACGUGGGUAACCUGCCUCACACAGGGGGAUAGCAGUUGGAAACGGCUGAUAAUACCGCAUGAGCGCACAGUACCGCAUGGUACAGUGUGAAAAACUCCGGUGGUGUGAGAUGGACCCGCGUCUGAUUAGCUUGUUGGCAGGGUAACGGCCUACCAAGGCAACGAUCAGUAGCCGACCUGAGAGGGUGACCGGCCACAUUGGGACUGAGACACGGCCCAG